Molecule: non-coding RNA, 148 nt
Organism: Pan troglodytes (chimpanzee)
Lineage: Eukaryota; Metazoa; Chordata; Mammalia; Primates; Hominidae
Rfam family: Metazoan signal recognition particle RNA
About the family: The signal recognition particle (SRP) is a universally conserved ribonucleoprotein. It is involved in the co-translational targeting of proteins to membranes. The eukaryotic SRP consists of a 300-nucleotide 7S RNA and six proteins: SRPs 72, 68, 54, 19, 14, and 9.
Source: Rfam
GCUGGGCACGGUGGUGCGCACCUGUAGUUCCAGCUACUUGGGAGGCUGAGGUGGGGGGAUGGCUUGAGUUCAGGAGGUUGAGGCUGCAGUGAGCCAUGAUCAUACCACUGCACUCCAACCUGGGCAACACAGCAAGACCCUACCUCAA